UGACCUUAUCUUAUCGCCCAGCACUUGUUAUACGCUCAUAAAUUAGUUUGAUAGUUGAGCUCUGAUUGGCUGUAUGCAAAUGAGUUCAUAACUGGGGUCCGGAACUCUUUUGGGGGGGAAAAAAAAAAUUUUCGUGGACUGGAAAUUUCUCCUUCCUCUCGUCCGGACCAGUUUUGUCCAAUCUUUUUUCUUUUUUGCAUUACUCACUUAAAAAGAAUAUAUGUCUUUUCGGUAAAAAGAAGAAAAAAGAAAUUGGAAAAUUUAUGAAAUUUUUUCUAACCUCCUCCCCCUUUCAGUACCAAAUUUAUUUUUGCACAACACACUUACAAAAAGAUGGGAGAAGCCUUGAAGAUUAAAGAAAAAAAAUUGGGGGAAAUCAGCAAUCACUAUUACAAUCCCCACUCCCUUUAUUUUCAAACAGAAAAUGAAACAUAAUUUAAAGACAAGGGUGAAAUCUUUUAAAAUAUUUUCAUUAACCUUGCCCCUCCAUAUAUUCUAAAAUUUUGAGAGUUUUUUUCGAAUUUUUUUUUUUAAAAUCAUUGUUUUGAAAUACAAACUCUGAAUCUGCAAUUUAUUUCUGUUUAUAAUUUCAAAAUAAUUCUCAGAUGAAAAGCUGUGUGUGAUUUUAAGGGAAGUUUAGCUGUUGUUUCUAGCACAUCACACAAUCACCUGAUACCUUCCUCAUUUCUUUGUCACUCUGACAUACAUUGAUUUUUUAAAAUAUUUUUCUCCUCAUGAACACAUUUUAUGGAAUGCUGAUGCAGUGUUCCAUCGCUGGGAUUUAAGCAACAACAAAGAAAAAAUUUUACUUGACUGCGGCCAUGCUGGAGCACCACCUUUAGUCGAGCAAAUCGACCCCAGGACUUAUUCUUUCUCCAUAUCUGACAAUUGGCUCUGCUCCUGAAUAAUCCACAACUCAACAUAGGUUAGUGUUUAGUGACUUCAGACUUGAGACCAAAAGGACCUGGAGAUACAAACCAAUUUGAAAAAAGGGGGUUAAAGAAGAUUAAGGAAUUUACAAACAGCCAGAG
Long non-coding RNA from Octopus bimaculoides (California two-spot octopus), 1031 nucleotides. RefSeq lists it as uncharacterized. The record is from RefSeq and is a predicted model, not a curated record. NCBI's taxonomy places the organism in Eukaryota, Metazoa, Mollusca, Cephalopoda, Octopoda, Octopodidae.